This 143-nucleotide ribosomal RNA is filed under the name uncultured eukaryote. Its description in RNAcentral is "partial small subunit ribosomal RNA". It matches the Rfam family "Bacterial small subunit ribosomal RNA", at positions 1383 to 1525 of the family's 1533-position model. The record is from RNAcentral.
GUACACACCGCCCGUCACACCAUGGGAGUUGGUUUUACCCGAAGGCGUCUCGCCAACCGCAAGGAGGCAGGCGACCACGGUAGGGUCAGCGACUGGGGUGAAGUCGUAACAAGGUUUCCGUAGGUGAACCUGCAGAAGGAUCA